This 788-nucleotide long non-coding RNA is filed under the name Bos taurus (domestic cattle). Its description in RNAcentral is "long non-coding RNA NONBTAT018083". Lineage: Eukaryota; Metazoa; Chordata; Mammalia; Artiodactyla; Bovidae. The record is from RNAcentral.
AUAAAACAUGCAUAGUUAGUGUUUAUGAGUGGUAGCUACCAUAGCUUUGAUUAGAAGUAAUAAUAAGUAACAUUUGGCGAUUUACUUUGUGCCUCUAAUGUUGCUAAACUCUUUGCAUAUGUUAUCUUACAUACUGAGUUGUAGAUUGUUGUUAUUCAUCUUUCUCAGCAUCAGGGUCUUUUCCAGAUGAAUCGGCUCUUUGCAUCAGGUGGCCAAAGUAUUGGGGCUUCAGUUGUAGGAUUGGAGUUCAAAUCCAAGUCUGACUGCAAAGCUCAUGCUCUUAUAAAAAAUAAUUAGUAUAGAACAUCUACACUAAGUUGCUUAUUUAAAAAGUUAUUUAAUGUUAAAUUGUAUUUUCUCAAAAUUUUUGUUAUAAAAUUAAUGAUGUUUCCCUGAAGGGGAAAUGGCUGAGGUUCCUUUUAAUGUUGUAUGAUGUGCUAAUCAAAUUGACACAUAAUAAAUUUAAGUUUCUUUUAAAGGCUCUCUUGCUAGGUUGUGGUCCAGUGAAGAUACUAGGUCCAGUAGGCUUCACUUGUGCAUUAUUGUUCUCUUGCAUAUUUAAGACCUGUAACUAAUGGUAUUAUAUAACAUGAGAUUCUUAUUGAAUCUCUCAAUGAAGCUUUUUUGCAGAAAAUAAUUCCCCCUUCCCAUGGUACUAUCCUGGUAUUCCUUGAUAGUCUGAGAAAUAAUACACAAACAUCUUAAUUUUCACCUGUGCAACACAUUGUUAAAAAUUGUCCUAACUGUUCUUUAAAAUAGUUACUACUGAUACGUCUAUCAUUUCCUAG